UGGGGAAUAUUGCGCAAUGGGCGGAAGCCUGACGCAGCGACGCCGCGUGGGGGAUGAAGGCCUUCGGGUUGUAAACCCCUUUCAGCAGGGACGAAGCGGAAGUGACGGUACCUGCAGAAGAAGCGCCGGCUAACUACGUGCCAGCAGCCGCGGUAACACGUAGGGCGCAAGCGUUGUCCGGAAUUAUUGGGCGUAAAGAGCUCGUAGGUGGUCUGUUGCGUCCGCUGUGAAAACUCAGGGCUUAACCCUGAGCCUGCAGUGGAUACGGGCAGACUAGAGGUAGGUAGGGGAGAAUGGAAUUCCUGGUGUAGCGGUGAAAUGCGCAGAUAUCAGGAGGAACACCGGUGGCGAAGGCGGUUCUCUGGGCCUUACCUGACACUGAGGAGCGAAAGCGUGGGGAGCGAACAGGAUUAGAUACCCCCGUAGUCC
RNAcentral lists this ribosomal RNA (429 nucleotides) under uncultured bacterium. RNAcentral's name for it is "bacterial SSU rRNA". It matches the Rfam family "Bacterial small subunit ribosomal RNA", at positions 355 to 796 of the family's 1533-position model. The record is from RNAcentral.